This 387-nucleotide ribosomal RNA is filed under the name Thalassiosira sp. Its description in RNAcentral is "partial small subunit ribosomal RNA". It matches the Rfam family "Eukaryotic small subunit ribosomal RNA", at positions 587 to 975 of the family's 1831-position model. Lineage: Eukaryota; Bacillariophyta; Thalassiosirophyceae; Thalassiosirales; Thalassiosiraceae. The record is from RNAcentral.
AGCUCCAAUAGCGUAUAUUAAAGUUGUUGCAGUUAAAAAGCUCGUAGUUGGAUUUCUGGCAGGAGCGACCGGUCACGCACUCUGUGCGUGAACUUUUGUUGUCUCUGGCCAUCCUUGGGGAGAUCCUGUUUGGCAUUAAGUUGUCGGGCAGGGGAUACCCAUCGUUUACUGUGAAAAAAUUAGAGUGUUUAAAGCAGGCUUAUGCCGUUGAAUAUAUUAGCAUGGAAUAAUAAGAUAGGACUUUGGAACUAUUUUGUUGGUUUGCGUUACGAAGUAAUGAUUAAUAGGGACAGUUGGGGGUAUUCGUAUUUCGUUGUCAGAGGUGAAAUUCUUGGAUUUCCGAAAGACGAACUACUGCGAAAGCAUUUACCAAGGAUGUUUUCAUUA